RNAcentral lists this transfer RNA (69 nucleotides) under Meristogenys kinabaluensis (Kiau Borneo frog). Its description in RNAcentral is "tRNA-Val". It matches the Rfam family "tRNA". Rfam says of the family: Transfer RNA (tRNA) molecules are approximately 80 nucleotides in length. Their secondary structure includes four short double-helical elements and three loops (D, anti-codon, and T loops). Lineage: Eukaryota; Metazoa; Chordata; Amphibia; Anura; Ranidae. The record is from RNAcentral.
CAAAAUGUAGCUUAACAAAAGCCCCUCGCUUACACCGAAGUGAUACCUGUUAAACUCAGGUCAUUUUGA